Small nuclear RNA from Sinocyclocheilus grahami, 186 nucleotides. Its record names the gene U1. It matches the Rfam family "U1 spliceosomal RNA". Rfam says of the family: U1 is a small nuclear RNA (snRNA) component of the spliceosome (involved in pre-mRNA splicing). Lineage: Eukaryota; Metazoa; Chordata; Actinopteri; Cypriniformes; Cyprinidae. The record is from Ensembl.
AUACUUACCUGGCAGGGGAGACACCAUGAUCAAGAAGGUGGUUUACCCAGGCUCCGAAGACUUCCCUUUAAAGCUUUUGACUUGAUUUACCUUUGGGGAUUUGAGAGAUAGAAUGGCAAAGCAAGGACAAUGGCGGAAUGCUGCUCGAUUUGUGUUAUUGGAGGAUCUGGAAAUGGACUGUCUGUC